AGUGAACGCUGGCGGCAGGCCUAACACAUGCAAGUCGAACGGCAGCACAGGAGAGCUUGCUCUCUGGGUGGCGAGUGGCGGACGGGUGAGGAAUAUAUCGGAAUCUACCCUUUCGUGGGGGAUAACGUAGGGAAACUUACGCUAAUACCGCAUACGAACUGAGGUUGAAAGCGGCGGACCGCAAGGCGUCGCGCGGAUGGAUGAGCCGAUAUCCGAUUAGCUAGUUGGCGGGGUAAAGGCUCACCAAGGCGACGAUCGGUCGCUGGUCUGAGAGGAUGAGCAGCCAGACUGGAACUGAGACACGGGCCAGACCCCUACGUGAGGCAGCAGUGGGGAUUAUUGGAGAAUGGGCGUAAGCCAGAUCCAGCCAUGCCGCGUGUGUGAAGAAGGCCUUCGGGUUGUAAAGCACUUUUGUUGGGAAAGAAAAGCGGUCGGUUAAUACCCGGUCGUUCUGACGGUACCCAAAGAGUAAGCACCGGCUAACUUCGUGCCAGCCGCCGCCGUAA
This 506-nucleotide ribosomal RNA is filed under the name uncultured bacterium. RNAcentral's name for it is "partial 16S ribosomal RNA". It matches the Rfam family "Bacterial small subunit ribosomal RNA", at positions 29 to 523 of the family's 1533-position model. The record is from RNAcentral.